AGUGAACGCUGGCGGUAGGCCUAACACAUGCAAGUCGAACGGCAGCACAGUAAGAGCUUGCUCUUACGGGUGGCGAGUGGCGGACGGGUGAGGAAUACAUCGGAAUCUACUUUUUCGUGGGGGAUAACGUGGGGAAACUUACGUUAAUACCGCAUACGACCUACGGGUGAAAGCAGGGGAUCUUCGGACCUUGCGCGAUUGAAUGAGCCGAUGUCGGAUUAGCUAGUUGGCGGGGUAAAGGCCCACCAGGGCGACGAUCCGUAGCUGGUCUGAGAGGAUGAUCAGCCACACUGGAACUGAGACACGGUCCAGACUCCUACGGGAGGCAGCAGUGGGGAAUAUUGGACAAUGGGCGCAAGCCUGAUCCAGCCAUACCGCGUGGGUGAAGAAGGCCUUCGGGUUGUAAAGCCCUUUUGUUGGGAAAGAAAAGCAGCAGGUUAAUACCCCGCUGUUCUGACGGUACCCAAAGAAUAAGCACCGGCUAACUUCGUG
RNAcentral lists this ribosomal RNA (492 nucleotides) under uncultured bacterium. RNAcentral's name for it is "partial 16S ribosomal RNA". It matches the Rfam family "Bacterial small subunit ribosomal RNA", at positions 29 to 507 of the family's 1533-position model. The record is from RNAcentral.